AGUGAACGCUGGCGGUAGGCCUAACACAUGCAAGUCGAACGGCAGCACAGUAAGAGCUUGCUCUUACGGGUGGCGAGUGGCGGACGGGUGAGGAAUACAUCGGCAUCUACUUUUUCGUGGGGGAUAACGUAGGGAAACUUACGCUAAUACCGCAUACGACCUACGGGUGAAAGCAGGGGAUCUUCGGACCUUGCGCGAUUGAAUGAGCCGAUGUCGGAUUAGCUAGUUGGCGGGGUAAAGGCCCACCAAGGCGACGAUCCGUAGCUGGUCUGAGAGGAUGAUCAGCCACACUGGAACUGAGACACGGUCCAGACUCCUACGGGAGGCAGCAGUGGGGAAUAUUGGACAAUGGGCGCAAGCCUGAUCCAGCCAUACCGCGUGGGUGAAGAAGGCCUUCGGGUUGUAAAGCCCUUUUGUUGGGAAAGAAAAGCAGCAGGUUAAUACCCCGCUGUUCUGACGGUACCCAAAGAAUAAGCACCGGCCAACUUCGUG
Molecule: ribosomal RNA, 492 nt
Filed under: uncultured bacterium
Lineage: Bacteria
Description: partial 16S ribosomal RNA
Rfam family: Bacterial small subunit ribosomal RNA
Source: RNAcentral